GAACGCUGGCGGCAUUGCUUUACACAUGCAAGUCGAACGGUAACAGGUCUUCGGAUGCUGACGAGUGGCGAACGGGUGAGUAAUGCAUCGGAACGUGCCCAGUCGUGGGGGAUAACGCAGCGAAAGCUGUGCUAAUACCGCAUACGAUCUAUGGAUGAAAGCGGGGGAUCGCAAGACCUCGCGCGAUUGGAGCGGCCGAUAUCAGAUUAGCUAGUUGGUGGGGUAAAGGCCCACCAAGGCGACGAUCUGUAGCUGGUCUGAGAGGACGACCAGCCACACUGGGACUGAGACACGGCCCAGACUCCUACGGGAGGCAGCAGUGGGAAUUUUGGACAAUGGGCGCAAGCCUGAUCCAGCCAUGCCGCGUGUGGGAAGAAGGCCUUCGGGUUGUAAACCACUUUUGUCAGGGAAGAAACGGCUUUUAUUAAUACUGAAAGCUAAUGACGGUACCUGAAGAAUAAGCACCGGCUAACUACGUG
This 479-nucleotide ribosomal RNA is filed under the name uncultured bacterium. Its description in RNAcentral is "bacterial SSU rRNA". It matches the Rfam family "Bacterial small subunit ribosomal RNA", at positions 31 to 507 of the family's 1533-position model. The record is from RNAcentral.